Sebastes umbrosus (honeycomb rockfish) is the source of this 73-nucleotide small nucleolar RNA. RefSeq annotates it as small nucleolar RNA SNORD49. Lineage: Eukaryota; Metazoa; Chordata; Actinopteri; Perciformes; Sebastidae. The transcript has a single exon. The record is from RefSeq and is a predicted model, not a curated record.
UUCAGUGAUGAUAACUGCUGCAUAGGAAGUGCCGUCUGAUGCGAUAACUGACGUUGAAAUAGCUGUUCUGAGA